Molecule: non-coding RNA, 101 nt
Filed under: unclassified sequences
Description: DUF3577 RNA
Rfam family: DUF3577 RNA
Source: RNAcentral
CGAUCGGAUAGUGCGGGAAACCGCAUGAAACUCGCCUGCAAUCCCGGCAUCACCGCGCAAGCGGUGUGGCGACUUCACUUCUGCCUUCUGGCAGUAUCAAA